RNAcentral lists this ribosomal RNA (254 nucleotides) under uncultured prokaryote. Its description in RNAcentral is "partial 16S ribosomal RNA". It matches the Rfam family "Bacterial small subunit ribosomal RNA", at positions 522 to 775 of the family's 1533-position model. The record is from RNAcentral.
AAUACGGAGGGUGCAAGCGUUAAUCGGAAUUACUGGGCGUAAAGCGCGCGUAGGCGGCUGGAUAAGUCGAUUGUGAAAGCCCCGGGCUCAACCUGGGAAUUGCAGUCGAGACUGUUCGGCUAGAGUGUGGGAGAGGGCAGUGGAAUUCCCGGUGUAGCGGUGAAAUGCGUAGAUAUCGGGAGGAACAUCAGUGGCGAAGGCGACUGCCUGGCCCAACACUGACGCUGAGGUGCGAAAGCGUGGGUAGCAAACAG